This 499-nucleotide ribosomal RNA is filed under the name uncultured bacterium. Its description in RNAcentral is "partial 16S ribosomal RNA". It matches the Rfam family "Bacterial small subunit ribosomal RNA", at positions 28 to 507 of the family's 1533-position model. The record is from RNAcentral.
GACGAACGCUGGCGGCGUGCCUAAUACAUGCAAGUCGAGCGAAGUUUUUCUGGUGCAUGCACUAGAAAAACUUAGCGGCGAACGGGUGAGUAGCACGUAAAGAACCUGCCUCAUAGACUGGGACAACUAUUGGAAACGAUAGCUAAUACCGGAUAACAGUAUUUCUCGCAUGAGAGAUAUUUAAAAGUUGGUUAUGCUAACACUAUGAGAUGGCUUUGCGGUGCAUUAGCUAGUUGGUGGGGUAAAGGCCCACCAAGGCGACGAUGCAUAGCCGACCUGAGAGGGUGAUCGGCCACACUGGGACUGAGACACGGCCCAGACUCCUACGGGAGGCAGCAGUAGGGAAUCUUCCGCAAUGGGCGAAAGCCUGACGGAGCAACGCCGCGUGAGUGAAGAAGGAUUUCGGUUCGUAAAGCUCUGUUGUUAGGGAAGAAUGGAUAUGUAGUAACUAUACAUGUAAGAGACGGUACCUAACCAGAAAGCCACGGCUAACUACGUG